RNAcentral lists this ribosomal RNA (253 nucleotides) under uncultured bacterium. RNAcentral describes it as "partial 16S ribosomal RNA". It matches the Rfam family "Bacterial small subunit ribosomal RNA", at positions 524 to 776 of the family's 1533-position model. The record is from RNAcentral.
UACAGAGGUCUCAAGCGUUGUUCGGAUUCAUUGGGCGUAAAGGGUGCGUAGGUGGCGCCGUAAGUCGGGUGUGAAAUUUCGGAGCUUAACUCUGAAACUGCAUUCGAUACUGCGGUGCUUGAGGACUGGAGAGGAGACUGGAAUUCAUGGUGUAGCAGUGAAAUGCGUAGAGAUCAUGAGGAAGACCAGUGGCGAAGGCGGGUCUCUGGACAGUUCCUGACACUGAGGCACGAAGGCCAGGGGAGCAAACGGG